This 253-nucleotide ribosomal RNA is filed under the name uncultured bacterium. RNAcentral describes it as "partial 16S ribosomal RNA". It matches the Rfam family "Bacterial small subunit ribosomal RNA", at positions 524 to 776 of the family's 1533-position model. The record is from RNAcentral.
UACGUGGGGGGCAAGCGUUGUUCGGAAUUACUGGGCGUAAAGAGCGUGUAGGCGGCCAGACAGGUCCGUUGUGAAAACUCGAGGCUCAACCUCGAGAUGUCGAUGGAAACCGUCUGGCUAGAGUCCGGAAGAGGAGUGUGGAAUUCCUGGUGUAGCGGUGAAAUGCGCAGAUAUCAGGAAGAACACCUAUGGCGAAGGCAGCACUCUGGGACGGUACUGACGCUGAGACGCGAAAGCGUGGGGAGCGAACAGG